UACGGAGGGUGCGAGCGUUGUCCGGAAUCACUGGGCGUAAAGGGCGCGUAGGUGGCGCGGCAAGUCAACGGUGAAAGCUCGACGCUCAACGUCGAGUCGGCCGUCGAUACUGCUGGGCUUGAGCACUGUAGAGGCAGAUGGAAUUCCGGGUGUAGCGGUGGAAUGCGUAGAGAUCCGGAAGAACACCGGUGGCGAAGGCGGUCUGCUGGGCAGUAGCUGACACUGAGGCGCGACAGCGUGGG
Molecule: ribosomal RNA, 242 nt
Filed under: uncultured bacterium
Lineage: Bacteria
Description: partial 16S ribosomal RNA
Rfam family: Bacterial small subunit ribosomal RNA
Source: RNAcentral